CCUACGGGAGGCAGCAGUGGGGAAUUUUGGACAAUGGGCGCAAGCCUGAUCCAGCCAUGCCGCGUGAGUGAAGAAGGCCUUCGGGUUGUAAAGCUCUUUCGGUGGGGAAGAAAUUGCACGGGAUAAUACCCUGUGUAGAUGACGGUACCUGGAGAAGAAGCACCGGCUAACUACGUGCCAGCAGCCGCGGUAAU
This 194-nucleotide ribosomal RNA is filed under the name uncultured bacterium. RNAcentral's name for it is "partial 16S ribosomal RNA". It matches the Rfam family "Bacterial small subunit ribosomal RNA", at positions 338 to 524 of the family's 1533-position model. The record is from RNAcentral.